GUGAGGAAUAUUGGUCAAUGGACGAGAGUCUGAACCAGCCAAGUCGCGUGAAGGAAGACGGUUCUAUGAAUUGUAAACUUCUUUUGUGCAGGAAUAAAGUGGGUUACGUGUAACCUUUUGUAUGUACUGUACGAAUAAGGAUCGGCUAACUCCGUGCCAGCAGCCGCGUUAAUACGGAGGAUCCGAGCAUUAUCCGGAUUUAUUGGGUUUAAAGGGUGCGUAGGUGGAUUGAGAAGUCAGCGGUGAAAGUUUGCAGCUUAACUGUAAAAUUGCCGUUGAAACUGUCGGUCUUGAGUGCAAAUGAGGUAGGCGGAAUGUGUUGUGUAGCGGUGAAAUGCUUAGAUAUAACACAGAACUACGAUUGCGAAGGCAGCUUACUGGGAUGCAACUGACACUGAUGCACGAAAGCGUGGGUAUCAAACAGGAUUAGAUACCCUUGUAGUCC
This 445-nucleotide ribosomal RNA is filed under the name uncultured bacterium. Its description in RNAcentral is "partial 16S ribosomal RNA". It matches the Rfam family "Bacterial small subunit ribosomal RNA", at positions 354 to 796 of the family's 1533-position model. The record is from RNAcentral.